Molecule: long non-coding RNA, 1614 nt
Organism: Ficedula albicollis (Collared flycatcher)
Lineage: Eukaryota; Metazoa; Chordata; Aves; Passeriformes; Muscicapidae
Source: Ensembl
AAAAGCAUUUCAUGCUCAGAACCAUGUGCUUGUGUAUAUAUUUAUAUUUAUAUACAUUUUAUAUGUGUGUGUUUGCUCUCUCCCUUUCCUUUUCUGACACAAAAAGCCUCUGUGCCUGCACCGUGAUGUGGUUGAACCGCAGGGCUGCUCCUGGGAAAGGGUGACACAGGGAGAAGCCGUGGGCAGCACCGCCCUGAGCCUGCCCCCAGAGAGCCCCAAAGAGAGGCAGGACUGUCCCCCCCCAGGCAGGAGCAGGGGGGGGGGGGGGGGGGGGGGGGGGGGGGGGAGGAGCAGCCAGCCUGUGUGCUCCAGAGCUUCACCUGCACUGCAAGAGGGCAGGUGGUGCCACACCCACCACCCACCCCACGGGCCAUCACUGACAGCAGGGCAAGGGCUGAAGCUUCUGGGAACUCGUGCAUUAUAACCAGCAUUUUAAGUUUUAAACAUAUUUUUGCUAUUAAACCCAGCCCCUGAAUCUUUUCUUUAAUUCUUUUCUCCUCUCUAAAUGCCUACUGGUUCUUUGGACGCUAGCAAGGAUGAAAAGCCACAUUUCCUGUGCUGAACAGAUUUUUAAACAGCUCUUCUUGAGCCAGGCUGCAAGAGCAGUCUCAUCCCAGAGAGACACCCCCUCUGAGCUCCCUGUGUGCAGGCAAGGUGCAGGGUUGAAACCCAGCUUUUGGAAUUGCUCAAAAAGCAGAGAAAACCACCCCUGAUGGGUGGCAGGCUGAGGAAUGCAGAUCUGCAGCCAGGCUGGGCUGGUUAAACAGCCUUUCAUGUUCAAAGCCUCCACUCAGGGUGCAGGAGGAAGCUGAGCGAGGAGCUUACAGGCUUGGACAGGCUCACAUGGAGGAAAUCAGCUCUAUUCCUUCAGCUCUAUUUCUUCAGCUCUGUUCCCUCAGCUCUAUUCCUUCAGCUCUAUUCCCUCAGCUCUAUUCCCUCAGCUCUAUUCCUUCAGCAGCCACUGCAGUGGAAUAACACACACAGGGUUGGAGCAUCCAGCACAGCCACCGAGCACCCGUGGCUGGCUGAGCCUGUGGCUUUAAUGCAAACCUUCCUGAGGAUUUGUUUGUGUGCCCAGGUUUUCUCUGGGGAGCUGGAAUUACCCCUCACACCCUUUUUGCAAAGCUGAGUUGAUUUGCUCUGUGUUGGAGGCAGCACUAGGAGGAAGGUUUUCUGACAGCUGUUGCUUCACUGCCUGCUAACAGCAUUAAUAAUACAUAAUAAUGCUGUUCAUCCCCUCUCACACAAAGGGAAAAUGAGGAGCAAACACAAAAUUCAUCCAGGCAGCCCAAUACCUUAACAGAAAAUCUAGAAAGAGGAGGGAGAGCUGCAGAGUCUGAGCCAAGCUUGCUAUCUGGGAUGCCCCACUGCCCCUCCACAGAGGGAGGAUCCAGACACAGUCCUGGAAAGCUGAUAAACAGCAGGGAAAGCUGGCAGCCUGGCAAGACAAGGAGAGAAGAUCUGGCAAAAAAAUAAAGUAAAUAAUGAGAAAGCAACAGCUAAAAAUAUGCUGCUGUGAACACGCUGCCAGGAAGGCAGCAGGAGCAGAGAGCAUCAGCUGCUGAGCUUCUUCUGGGGUUACCUCUAUUUAUAGCCUGGGAGCAGCAGUUUGAG